GCAGACACACUCUGUUCUUUGCUGCUCUCUCCAGCAUCGGACUUUUUCUGUCUGCUACAUAAACGUGCAGAAUGUAACACGUAGCUGGUUUUCUGAAAAGCUGGUGACGCUAUGUUCUGCAACAUUACA
Molecule: small nucleolar RNA, 129 nt
Organism: Micropterus dolomieu (smallmouth bass)
Lineage: Eukaryota; Metazoa; Chordata; Actinopteri; Centrarchiformes; Centrarchidae
Product: small nucleolar RNA SNORA77
Exons: 1
Source: RefSeq, a predicted model, not a curated record